Non-coding RNA from Pelobates cultripes (western spadefoot toad), 201 nucleotides. NCBI's taxonomy places the organism in Eukaryota, Metazoa, Chordata, Amphibia, Anura, Pelobatidae. The record is from the annotation of a GenBank genome assembly.
CAAAUAACUAAAUUGCGAUCUGGAAGAUAACCACACCCCCAGUAUUGCUAUUGGUUUAGCAACUAGUGAAUUUUCCCUUUAAAAGUUAGGACAAAGGGAAGAUAGAGGGUAUGUAAAGGAGAAGGAAAAAAGAGGAGAGAGGAAUUGGAAGUUUGGGGACUCCAACUCGGACAUGCAGAGAAACCCAGGACAACAUCUGAG